GAUCAUGGCUCAGAGCGAACGCUGGCGGCAGGCUUAACACAUGCAAGUCGAACGGGCGUAGCAAUACGUCAGUGGCAGACGGGUGAGUAACGCGUGGGAACGUACCUUUGGUUCGGAACAACACAGGGAAACUUGUGCUAAUACCGGAUAAGCCCUUACGGGGAAAGAUUUAUCGCCGAAAGAUCGGCCCGCGUCUGAUUAGCUAGUUGGUGAGGUAACGGCUCACCAAGGCGACGAUCAGUAGCUGGUCUGAGAGGAUGAUCAGCCACAUUGGGACUGAGACACGGCCCAAACUCCUACGGGAGGCAGCAGUGGGGAAUAUUGGACAAUGGGCGCAAGCCUGAUCCAGCCAUGCCGCGUGAGUGAUGAAGGCCCUAGGGUUGUAAAGCUCUUUUGUGCGGGAAGAUAAUGACGGUACCGCAAGAAUAAGCCCCGGCUAACUUCGUG
This 447-nucleotide ribosomal RNA is filed under the name uncultured bacterium. Its description in RNAcentral is "bacterial SSU rRNA". It matches the Rfam family "Bacterial small subunit ribosomal RNA", at positions 15 to 507 of the family's 1533-position model. The record is from RNAcentral.